Molecule: ribosomal RNA, 472 nt
Filed under: uncultured bacterium
Lineage: Bacteria
Description: bacterial SSU rRNA
Rfam family: Bacterial small subunit ribosomal RNA
Source: RNAcentral
CGCUGUCACUCCUACGGGAGGCAGCAGUGGGGAAUAUUGCACAAUGGGCGCAAGCCUGAUGCAGCCAUGCCGCGUGUGUGAAGAAGGCCUUCGGGUUGUAAAGCACUUUCAGCAGUGAGGAAGGCGGAGUCGUUAAUAGCGGCCUCGUUUGACGUUAGCUGCAGAAGAAGCACCGGCUAACUCCGUGCCAGCAGCCGCGGUAAUACGGAGGGUGCGAGCGUUAAUCGGAAUUACUGGGCGUAAAGCGCAUGCAGGUGGUUUGUUAAGUCAGAUGUGAAAGCCCGGGGCUCAACCUCGGAAUAGCAUUUGAAACUGGCAGACUAGAGUACUGUAGAGGGGGUAGAAUUUCAGGUGUAGCGGUGAAAUGCGUAGAGAUCUGAAGGAAUACCGGUGGCGAAGGCGGCCCCCUGGACAGAUACUGACACUCAGAUGCGAAAGCGUGGGGAGCAAACAGGAUUAGAUACCCUGGUAG